UAAGCUAGAUCUUAUCCACUAUUUAUUGAACAAUGUUUGAUCCUAAUAGUCUUCUCUCACUGACAUCAUCCCAACAUACAGGGAUCCAACAUCUUCUUCCAUACAGAGCUUCAAAGGAAGAGCCAUUUGGAUGCUAGCUUGAAAGCUGUUGUUAUAUACAAACUCCACUAGUGGUAAAAGUUCAUCCCAAGACCCUUUUAAGUAAUCUAUCACACGUGCCCUCAACAUAUCUUCCAAUAUUUAAAUUAUUCUUUCUGACUGACCAUCUGUCUG
This 273-nucleotide long non-coding RNA is filed under the name Elaeis guineensis (African oil palm). RNAcentral describes it as "long non-coding RNA (EGUI_LNC018449)". The record is from RNAcentral. Lineage: Eukaryota; Viridiplantae; Streptophyta; Magnoliopsida; Arecales; Arecaceae.